ACGAAGGGGGCUAGCGUUGUUCGGAUUUACUGGGCGUAAAGCGCGCGUAGGCGGAUCUUUAAGUCAGGGGUGAAAUGCCGGAGCUCAACUUCGGAACUGCCUUUGAUACUGGAGAUCUUGAGUUCGGGAGAGGUGAGUGGAACUGCGAGUGUAGAGGUGAAAUUCGUAGAUAUUCGCAAGAACACCAGUGGCGAAGGCGGCUCACUGGCCCGAUACUGACGCUGAGGCGCGAAAGCGUGGGGAGCAAACAGGAUUAGAUACCCUGGUAGUCCACGCUGUAAACGAUGGAUGCUAGCCGUUAGGCAGCUUGCUGCUUAGUGGCGCAGCUAACGCUUUAAGCAUCCCGCCUGGGGAGUACGGUCGCAAGAUUA
RNAcentral lists this ribosomal RNA (371 nucleotides) under uncultured bacterium. RNAcentral's name for it is "bacterial SSU rRNA". It matches the Rfam family "Bacterial small subunit ribosomal RNA", at positions 525 to 896 of the family's 1533-position model. The record is from RNAcentral.